UAUUUGGGUGAAAGUAAGGGUUAGGACACCUUGUGCUAGCUAUUUGAUGUGCUUCCUUUCUUGUUGAAAAAGCUUCUGUAGUAGCUGGUAUUCCACAAAUCCAUGCAUCAAAGUUACAAUUACAUGUCUGUGCCCAUAUCUCAUUAUUCUUCUCACCAUUUAUCAUAACUACAGGUGUCCAUGACAGCAUGCUGCUCAUGCCAGGCGCUAUGCCCUGUGUUAGUAGCGGGACUCAACGAAGCUUAUUACACUUUCAAAACAACCCUUUCAGACAUGAUGCUUGUGUCUAUUCUCAGACUGAUCCAGAAAAUAUGUAUGACAAGAACAGUAAGAAAACUCCCCUGGACCUUGCUCUCAUCCUUGUUCUCACUUUGCUGAAGGGAAGAGCUGACAACUUUUUUUUUUUUUUUGUAUCCUAAGUAAUGCAGCCCAUGAAUGAGUCAUGUGGAAAUGUCUCCUGCCACCAUCAAGACCCCGAUUCUAACCUGGUCAUCAGAGGAAAGGGAUUGCAUUAAGAACUGACCAUUUAUAUGCAUAGGAACGAUCCACUUUGAAUCCGGAAAUAAUAGGAGACCAAUCAAGACCUGACUCCUGCAGUCUCUCUCUCAUAUCCCCCAGUGAUGGAAAGCCUCACAGCCCACUUAGGAAAUGCUGGGGGGAGCUGUGCUCUGACUUCAGAUUUCUGAUAGAAAUAUGAUUCCUUUUCUUCCCUAAGAUGAUUUGGAAUUAUGUAUAAGUAAAGAUAUGUUUCUUUGACUUGAACAUGAAAAUUCAUCAGCUUACAUUGUGGACACAGAUAUACCAGUGUCACCUGUCUGUCAAAGUAUGGAGUUUUUUGUUAGCAUUCCACAUGCUGUGUUUAUUUAAAAGAAAAGUUUCUAAGCAAAGCAGCCUUCCUACGUGGUAAUUGGGUAGAGGGAAUAUGGAACUAGUGAUUUUUAACUAUAGUCUCAUGCUACAGGAAUCUGUGGAGCGAAAUAUAAGUGCGGAUGUGGUAUGGCUGGAGUUCUGCCUCCCAGAAACACUGAGGGUCAGCUGUUUUGAGGUGGGGCUCUGGCAUUAGUAUUUCUCUGAGGUUUUUAAGGUGAUUCUAACUAUGCAGCAACAUGAGCAUGGAGGCAGAGACACUACGGGCUUCUAGCCCUGUGAGAAAGCAAGUAUAGUUUCUUUUUGUUCAGCUUUUUAUUUAAAACUAUCACAGAUAUACAGAAAUUUGAGAUUAUAGAAAAUACCAUCCAUGCAUUAUUACUAUCUCAGAGUGGCAUUCGGCGUUUAGUGUAAUUAAUAAAGAAAUAUUGAAACAUUAUUGUUAACCAAUGUUAACACUCCAUUAGGACUUGCUCAACUUUUGCCUCCCAUUCCUCCGGUUUCUGAAUCUCAUCCAAGACAGUAUGUUUGAAGAGAUAGUCAUGCCUCAGGAGGUUUCUUAUUGCGGCACUUCCUUGGUUUCCCUUGGUUUCAGUGACACACUUCAAAGUGUGCUAGUCAGGUCUCAUUUUAGUCUCACCUUUGCCUCGUGACUGGACCGGAUUAGCGAGUUUUACAUAGAGUCCCCAGGAGCAGAACUAUUCUUGCUGCAUCACAGUGUGCACAGGCCACAUGUGCACAUGUCCAGUGCUGCUGUUGACCUUGGCCGUCAAGUUAAGGGAGUUUGCCAUUGACGUCUCCACUCUAAGCAUUUUCUUUCUUUACUUAAACUGUCUGCAUUUUAUUAAAAUAAAAAAAAAAGUGUGCAAAGUUCACUUAAGGAUGGGGAGUUACAAUGUAGGUAGCUGGUGCACUACAGAGUAAGGGAGUUGUUUGGAAUUCUGAAAAUGAUUUGUCUCUUUGCCUUCCCUUUGACUUAGUAUGGACUCAUGUGUAUUCUUUAUGCUUUAACAUGCCAUCCUGCUUUACAAUUUUUCUAUUUGUUUCUACUAAACUCCUUCAGUUUUCUCCAUGAUCCCUUUUCAUCCUCUUUUCACUUUGUGUAUGCACUUACAUACUCACUUUUCAGCAUGGAGAUAGAAGGCAAGGUCUCCCAUCAUGCUAGCUGCAUCACUGAGCUUCACUCUUACGGCUAACUCCUUAUCAUUUUCCAUCUCAUGUUUCUAAUUUCUGACACUAUUUUACUAAGGCGUUGGUACACUUUCCAGCCCCUGCUUUCAAAUCAGACAUUUCUCCCUAGGCACCCUGGUUCCAUUCAAUGGAGAACGGUGUUAAAAAUCAAGGUCUUGUCUCCAGAUGAACUCCUUGCUGCCAGGGAGUCUUGUCAUCUGACAUACCCAGGGAAUAUGUGGUCAUACAUGCCAACAUGUGCAUGCUUAGGUAUCCAUAUGCAUUUCUAUGCACAUCAGUCUGUAUCUAUAUUACAUUGGAUAUAAAUUCAUACUGAUGUCUGUGAAUUUUGCAAUUUAGAUCAUUCGAGACUUUUCUACUUGCUUAUCUAUAUCCUCUAACAGUGAGAAACCUGGCUCCUACCAUCUGCCAACGUUUAACUUUUCAAUUACUGUGUACACAUACAGACGUACCCGAGUUAUUAACCUCUAAGCCCAGGAGACACAGCUUCAUCAACUAGAGUACAGUCCUCAUGUCUAGUUUCUUUUGCCUUUAGUCUUACAGUCUGUGCUCAUUUCCUGCUACUUACAUUAGCAUCUCCCUCCUGCCUGCUCCCACUUUCUACCCCUUUAGUGAUGUUUGCUGAGGAUUCUACUAGAGAUUGUGUUAUGUCACAUUCUGCAUUCCAUUCUGGAAGCCUUGAUCUCCUAAGUUUCUGCAGUUUGUAUGUGUGAAAUCAUUCUGGUGUAAAGAUGUAUAUUUUGUGUAUUUUGAAUGUCACUCUUGUGGGUUAUUGUUCGUACUUCAGUGACUCAGCAGUGAAGUAAAACCUCAUACAUAAAUACCUGUACUGUAUGUAUGGUCUGGUAGAAUUCAAGGAGUUAAUAUGUCCUAGAAAUUCAGUCUGAAAAAUUAUAUAUGCAUAUGCAUGUAUGAAUGUAUAUAUGGACAUAUAGGUAUGCAUUAGAUGGGUGAAUAGUAUAAUAUUACUUGGCUGAAUGUAACAUAUAAAUGACAUAGCCAGGUAAUCCUGGGUGGGGGUUGGGGAAAAAUAAAGAUUUUGUUUUUAAAUUAAAUCAAAAUGCUUUGAACGCUCUAGGACACAUUGAUGGAGGCACAUUUAGCCUUUUGUAGUGUUCUUUAUUUUUGGUACACACACACACACACACACACACACACACAAGUGCCUCACUCUUAUUGGUCAAAGGGUCAUAAUGUCACUGAUGAAUCAUAUAGGGAUCUAAACUGAGGACAGUAAGGAGCAUUGCUUUCCUUCUAUGCAGCACAUAUUCUGUAAUAGCAAAUAAAAUUAUAUAUGAUAUUUCCAAUUCAGAUAUGUAUUACAAAGAUUUUAAAAUAUUUCUAUAAGUAAAUUCUUGUUUAUUUUCACUUAUUCUCAAAAUAAGUGACUUUGUAAGAUGAUAUUAAUGAAAUUACUUAACUUCCAUUACCUUAUAGCUUGCAUAAAAUAAUUUUAAAACUAAUAUUUGUUUUGAUUAUGGAAGAUUAUUACGUGUGUUUCAGUCCUGCAGCCUCUGAACUAUUAAUAGUGCAGAAGAUGUGUGCUUGAGAAUCUGUGUUUUAAAGUCAUUUGAAUCCAAAUGUCAUCAUAAUCAUGUAAUCAUGUCUUCAGUUUGACAUGGAAGUUGGUACAUUUAUAAUGGUUUUACCGUAAUGGUUUUACUCAAUUUUUUUCUUCAUGUUGACAUAAAGUUAUAAAAAUGUUUCUCACACUCUCCCCAGACUUUAUUCUUGAUUUAAUUUUCUUUAUAGCAAGUUAUGGCUAAUAUAUAUCAUGUUUAUCAUUUCAUGCAGUGUCUCUCAUGCUUUAAGCUAUAUAAAGCCACCAACAGUUGUCUUUUUUUACCUUGACAUCCUCUGGUAUAUAACAUUGUGCUAAGUGCUUUACAAAUAAUUUUUGAUUGAAUAAAUGAAUGACAUCAUUUGCAUAAAA
Molecule: long non-coding RNA, 3991 nt
Organism: Meriones unguiculatus (Mongolian gerbil)
Lineage: Eukaryota; Metazoa; Chordata; Mammalia; Rodentia; Muridae
Exons: 2
Source: RefSeq, a predicted model, not a curated record